GCUGGAAUAUCUCAGUUGGUAGAGCAUAACCUUGCCAAGGUUGGGGUCGCGAGUUCGAGUCUCGUUUCCCGCUCCA
This 76-nucleotide transfer RNA is filed under the name Acinetobacter baumannii. RNAcentral describes it as "tRNA-Gly". It matches the Rfam family "tRNA". Rfam says of the family: Transfer RNA (tRNA) molecules are approximately 80 nucleotides in length. The record is from RNAcentral. Lineage: Bacteria; Pseudomonadati; Pseudomonadota; Gammaproteobacteria; Moraxellales; Moraxellaceae.